UAUGCCAUAAUAUUCAAGGUAAAUUUGGACCUUUUCCCUGAAGAAAAACAAGAGACGCCCAACCAAGCAAGUUUUCCGGGCUCCAACUGUACAAGGCAAAUAUCUGUCUCCGUCAAUCUCUCCGGCGGAGAAGAGAAGCUUCUGUAAUAAUGAACCCCCAAAUCUAGCUAGUUUCGACCUACAUUCUCCCUCAUCUUUUCGUAACCCAAAUAAUUUUGUACUGAACUCAUCAACAACUAGUAUUAAAAUGGAUCGGGCGAGAACAGCAAGUCCGAGGCAGUUAAGGAAAUGGAGCAGCGAAUCCGGAGCAGCUCCGACUCUGACUUCCGGGUCUUCAUCACCUGGACGUCCACAUCAUCAUAGCCGGUCUUCCUCAGUCUCCGGCGGCAUGAUGUCCAACAUUAAGCGCACUCAGAAUGUUGCUGCAAAAGCUGCUGCCCAGCGCCUCGCUCAAGUCAUGGCCUCACAAGCUGCUUCUGCUGGUAAUGACGACGACGAUGAUGAUAAUGAUGAUCUUGGAUUCCGAUUUGCACCUCCCUCUUUUUCCCGGUCCAACGGCACUAGUGCUACCGGCAACACUAAUGCUACCAACAACACUAAUGCUGCGGCUAUUCAGUCCGCGAAGCUCAAUAAUAAUAGAUCAUCUUCCCCUCUGCUAGCUAGGAAUUUUGUCGAGGAAGCCCCGUCGUCUCUUCGUUCAACAUCAGCAGGAAGAGCAAAUGUGCCAACUCGUCCUCCACCAUCAAUACCAAGUACCCGACAGCCUGUGAAGACUCCUUUACCUAUAACCCCAAUCGAGCCUCCAACCAACAAGCUGAGAGAGAAAAGAUUCUCGCCAGAUUUAAGACAAUUUAACUUGAAAGAUACAGUAGAUAACCGUGCAGCUUCUGCGCUUCAUGAUGAACUUGAUAUGCUACAAGAAGAAAAUGAAAAUCUGCUUGGAAAGCUUAGAGGUGCUGAAAUGAGUUACGAUGAAGCAGAAGCUAGAGUGAAGGAGCUUGAGAAACAGGUUGCAGCACUUGGAGAAGGAGCAUCUUUAGAAGCAAAGUUGUUAAGCAGGAAGGAAGCCUCUUUGCGCCAAAGGGAGGCUGCACUGAAAGACGCAAAACAAGCCAAGAAUGGGAUAGAUGUGGAACUUGCAAACCUCUGUUCUAAUGUCCAGAAAGCAAAAGAUGACGCAGCUGCUGCUGUAUAUCAACUUCAAGUGGCUGAAUCUGAGGUUAAAACUCUACGCUCUAUGACACAAAGGAUGGUUUUAACCCAGAAUGAGAUGGAAGAUGUUGUUCUUAAAAGAUGCUGGCUUGCACGUUAUUGGGGUUUAGCAGCUCAGUUUGGUAUUUGUUCAGAUAUUGCUGCUUCAAAACACGAGUACUGGUCAUCCUUCGCACCUCUUCCUUUUGAAUUGGUUAUCUCUGCUGGACAAAAGGCAAAGGAAGAAUUUUUGGAAAAAGGUUAUGACAAUCCAGAGAGGGGUAAUCUUGUUCAGGAUUUGAAUGAUCUCACUGGAGAAGGAAAUAUAGAAAGCAUGCUUUCUGUUGAAAUGGGCUUGAAUGAACUUGUUUCCUUGAAGGUUGAGGAUGCCAUAGUGCUUGCACUGGCUCAGCAACGACGUCCAAACUCCACUCGAACAUCAAUUUCAGACAUCAAAUCACCAAUUGAUCCGAAGUAUAUGGAGGCAUUUGAACUCAGCCCUGAGGAGUCUGAAGAUGUCCUUUUCAAGGAGGCAUGGCUAACUUACUUUUGGAGGAGAGCCAAAGCCCAUGGUAUACAGGAGGAUAAAGCCAAUAAAAGACUUCAAUUUUGGAGUAGUCGCAGCGGGCACGCACCAACUUCUCAUGAUGCUGUUGAUGGUGGGUUUUAAAUUAAAGUAAGGCAGGUCUCUUCAAGUCAUUGUAGGCUUGCCAACGUGUAUCUCCAAAAUGUGCUGCACUCGUAUUGGAUCCUUAAAAAAUGCACAACUUUUGGAGGAUCCGACACAUACCCAACGAUAUUUCGGAGAGUCAGAGAAACAUAUGAGUUGAGCAAGGCCUGAUGGAGCUAAGGAAAUUGGGCAUUGAACAAAAACUAUGGGAAUCAUCUCGGAGAUAAAUUGGGCAUUGGUUGAGAUUCUCCUGUUACUGGAGAGAAAACUUCCCUGCAGUCUAAUAUUACUGCCCGCUCUCUAUUUUACCCACUGCAUACAAGAGUCUCUUACUCUCCUUUUCCACUUACAACAGUAUUCUUCUCAAGAGUCAUGUAAUACAAAGUCCCAAUCUUUUCUUUUUAGACCCAACAGGAAGGGAAGGGGUCUAGUUAAGGUUACACAGGUUUUUGUUUAGUACAAACAUGAGUAUCUUGAGGAUGACCGUACAUAAAUUCUGAAGUGAACUGUAUUUAGAAAGGAGGAUUUGGCUAUGCUUGUUGUUCUGAGAUUGAUUUGCUUAGUUCCAAGUCUCGGGAUUUAGAUACUGUCACUACUAUAGUGACUUCAUAUUAUAAUUAAUAUCCACUAUUUUUGUUUAUGAUA
This is an RNA transcript of Nicotiana attenuata, 2506 nucleotides long. It is a transcript of the gene named coiled-coil domain-containing protein SCD2-like, with no coding region annotated. NCBI's taxonomy places the organism in Eukaryota, Viridiplantae, Streptophyta, Magnoliopsida, Solanales, Solanaceae. The record is from RefSeq and is a predicted model, not a curated record. The transcript has 18 exons.